AAGAGUCUCAGAGAACUGGGAUUUUAUUGUGGGGGUCUUGGUCUUGGGUUUCUCCCUACAGAUUCUAACUCCACAGAGUGACCAGAGAGAGGAAGUGGCCCAAGACACCAAAGAGGAGAGAGGGGAAGUGUCCAGCCAAGGCCCCGAGGACUCACUCCUGGGGACACAGUCCCGUGGCUACUUCAGCCGCCAGCCAGUGAAGUAUCACCGAGGGGGCGUGCGGCCUGUCACCCACCAGCUGUCCAGCUUGGCCCUGGUGGCUUACAAAAUUGACGAGGAGACUCCUGUCACAUCCGGGCCUCAAGGGAGCUUGCGGGGGAGGGGACCAGGCCCUGCUGCGGCCUCCCCUGAGGGCACUCCACCACGCCGCACCCCGCUGCCCAAGCACUUUGAGAUCACCCAGGAGACAGCCCGGCUGCUCUCCAAGCUGCACAGAGAGGAGGUGCCCACGGCCACCUGCUGCCCGGACCCUCCGCCUGAGGAUGAGGAAGUCGAGCGUCUCUGACCAGCCCAGCCCUCUGACCAAGUGGCCCAGGAUUGAGGACAUAGACUCACUUCUCCCCAGUUCAAUGUUGGGGGAUCUGGAGAGUUCCUAUAAG
Long non-coding RNA from Myotis brandtii (Brandt's bat), 599 nucleotides. RefSeq lists it as uncharacterized. The transcript has 2 exons. NCBI's taxonomy places the organism in Eukaryota, Metazoa, Chordata, Mammalia, Chiroptera, Vespertilionidae. The record is from RefSeq and is a predicted model, not a curated record.